AAAUUGAAGAGUUUGAUCAUGGCUCAGAUUGAACGCUGGCGGCAGGCCUAACACAUGCAAGUCGAACGGUAACAGGAAGCAGCUUGCUGCUUUGCUGACGAGUGGCGGACGGGUGAGUAAUGUCUGGGAAACUGCCUGAUGGAGGGGGAUAACUACUGGAAACGGUGGCUAACUACUGGAAACGGUGGC
This 189-nucleotide ribosomal RNA is filed under the name Salmonella enterica. RNAcentral's name for it is "partial 16S ribosomal RNA". It matches the Rfam family "Bacterial small subunit ribosomal RNA", at positions 1 to 182 of the family's 1533-position model. The record is from RNAcentral. Lineage: Bacteria; Pseudomonadati; Pseudomonadota; Gammaproteobacteria; Enterobacterales; Enterobacteriaceae.